Molecule: ribosomal RNA, 492 nt
Filed under: uncultured bacterium
Lineage: Bacteria
Description: partial 16S ribosomal RNA
Rfam family: Bacterial small subunit ribosomal RNA
Source: RNAcentral
AGUGAACGCUGGCGGUAGGCCUAACACAUGCAAGUCGAACGGCAGCACAGUAAGAGCUUGCUCUUACGGGUGGCGAGUGGCGGACGGGUGAGGAAUACAUCGGAAUCUACUUUUUCGUGGGGGAUAACGUAGGGAAACUUACGCUAAUACCGCAUACGACCUACGGGUGAAAGCAGGGGAUCUUCGGACCUUGCGCGAUUGAAUGAGCCGAUGUCGGAUUAGCUAGUUGGCGGGGUAAAGGCCCACCAAGGCGACGAUCCGUAGCUGGUCUGAGAGGAGGAUCAGCCACACUGGAACUGAGACACGGUCCAGACUCCUACGGGAGGCAGCAGUGUGGAAUAUUGGACAAUGGGCGCAAGCCUGAUCCAGCCAUACCGCGUGGGUGAAGAAGGCCUUCGGGUUGUAAAGCCCUUUUGUUGGGAAAGAAAAGCAGCAGGUUAAUACCCCGCUGUUCUGACGGUACCCAAAGAAUAAGCACCGGCUAACUUCGUG